Molecule: ribosomal RNA, 497 nt
Filed under: uncultured bacterium
Lineage: Bacteria
Description: partial 16S ribosomal RNA
Rfam family: Bacterial small subunit ribosomal RNA
Source: RNAcentral
GAUGAACGCUGGCGGCGUGCCUAAUACAUGCAAGUCGAGCGAACAGACGAGGAGCUUGCUCCUCUGACGUUAGCGGCGGACGGGUGAGUAACACGUGGAUAACCUACCUAUAAGACUGGGAUAACUUCGGGAAACCGGAGCUAAUACCGGAUAAUAUAUUGAACCGCAUGGUUCAAUAGUGAAAGACGGUUUUGCUGUCACUUAUAGAUGGAUCCGCGCCGCAUUAGCUAGUUGGUAAGGUAACGGCUUACCAAGGCGACGAUGCGUAGCCGACCUGAGAGGGUGGGCGCCCACACUGGAACAUGAACAGGGUCCAACCUCCUCGGGGAGGCAGCAGGAGGGACUCGUCCGCAGGGGGGAAAGCCCGGAAGAGACACCCCCGAGUGGGAGAUAAGGUUGUUGGUAUCAAAAACCUUUUUAUUAGGGAAAAAAAAAAUGUGAAAGUAACAAUCCACUUUUGGAGGGUACCUAAUAAAAAACCCCGGCCAAACCACGCC